This 92-nucleotide transfer RNA is filed under the name Clostridia bacterium. RNAcentral's name for it is "tRNA-Ser". It matches the Rfam family "tRNA". Rfam says of the family: Transfer RNA (tRNA) molecules are approximately 80 nucleotides in length. Their secondary structure includes four short double-helical elements and three loops (D, anti-codon, and T loops). The record is from RNAcentral. Lineage: Bacteria; Bacillati; Bacillota; Clostridia.
GUGGGAGUACUCAAGUGGCUAUAAGAGGAGUCCCUGCUAAGGAUUUAGGCCGGGUUUCCGGUGCGGAAGUUCGAAUCUUCUCUCCCACGCCA